RNAcentral lists this transfer RNA (75 nucleotides) under Spirochaetota bacterium. RNAcentral's name for it is "Spirochaetes bacterium tRNA-Met". It matches the Rfam family "tRNA". Rfam says of the family: Transfer RNA (tRNA) molecules are approximately 80 nucleotides in length. Their secondary structure includes four short double-helical elements and three loops (D, anti-codon, and T loops). Further hydrogen bonds mediate the characteristic L-shaped molecular structure. tRNAs have two regions of fundamental functional importance: the anti-codon, which is responsible for specific mRNA codon recognition, and the 3' end, to which the tRNAs corresponding amino acid is attached (by aminoacyl-tRNA synthetases). tRNAs cope with the degeneracy of the genetic code in two manners: having more than one tRNA (with a specific anti-codon) for a particular amino acid; and 'wobble' base-pairing, i.e. permitting non-standard base-pairing at the 3rd anti-codon position. Lineage: Bacteria; Pseudomonadati; Spirochaetota. The record is from RNAcentral.
UGCGGGAUGGAGAAGUUCGGUAUCUCAUCGGGCUCAUAACCCGAAGGUCUCAGGUUCAAAUCCUGAUCCCGCCAC